Molecule: ribosomal RNA, 433 nt
Filed under: uncultured bacterium
Lineage: Bacteria
Description: partial 16S ribosomal RNA
Rfam family: Bacterial small subunit ribosomal RNA
Source: RNAcentral
GCGAACGCUUGCGGCAGGCCUAACCCCUGCCAGUCGCACGAACCUUUCGGGGUUAGUGGCGGACGGGUGAGUAACACGUGGGAACGUGCCUUUAGGUUCGGAAUAAUUCAGGGAAACUUGUGCUAAUACCGAAUGUGCCCUUCGGGGGAAAGAUUUAUCGCCUUUAGAGCGGCCCGCGUCUGAUUAGCUAGUUGGUUGAGGUAAUGGCUCACCAAGGCGACGAUCAGUAGCUGGUCUGAGAGGAUGAUCAGCCACAUUGGGACUGAGACACGGCCCAAACUCCUACGGGAGGCAGCAGUGGGGAAUCUUGCGCAAUGGGCGAAAGCCUGACGCAGCCAUGCCGCGUGAAUGAUGAAGGUCUUAGGAUUGUAAAAUUCUUUCACCGGGGACGAUAAUGACGGUACCCGGAGAAGAAGCCCCGGCUAACUUCGUG